This 372-nucleotide ribosomal RNA is filed under the name uncultured prokaryote. RNAcentral's name for it is "bacterial SSU rRNA". It matches the Rfam family "Bacterial small subunit ribosomal RNA", at positions 524 to 896 of the family's 1533-position model. The record is from RNAcentral.
UACGAAGGGGGCUAGCGUUGUUCGGAAUGACUGGGCGUAAAGCGCACGCAGGCGGCGCGUCAAGUCAGAGGUGAAAGGCCCGGGCUCAACCUGGGAACUGCCUUUGAGACUGACGUGCUAGAGACCGAGAGAGGGUAGUGGAAUUCCCAGUGUAGAGGUGAAAUUCGUAGAUAUUGGGAAGAACACCGGUGGCGAAGGCGGCUACCUGGCUCGGUUCUGACGCUCAGGUGCGAAAGCGUGGGGAGCAAACAGGAUUAGAUACCCUGGUAGUCCACGCCGUAAACGAUGCGUGCUAGACGUUGGGGGGCUUGCCCUUCGGUGUCGCAGCUAACGCGAUAAGCACGCCGCCUGGGGAGUACGGCCGCAAGGUUA